AGGACGAACGCUGGCGGCGUGCUUAACACAUGCAAGUCGAGCGAGGCUCUCCUUCGGGAGAUGUCCGAGCGGCGAACGGGUGAGUAACACGUGGGCAACCUGCCUCUAGCUCUGGGAUAACUCCGGGAAACCGGGGCUAAUACCGGAUACGACCUCGAGCGGCAUCUAUCGAGGUGGAAAGUUUUUCGGCUAGAGAUGGGCCCGCGGCUUAUCAGCUUGUUGGUGAGGUAACGGCCCACAAGGCGACGACGGGUAGCCGGCCUGAGAGGGCGACCGGCCACGACUGGGACUGAGACACGGCCAGACUCCGUACGGGAGGCAGCAGGUGGGGAAUAUUGGGACAAGUGGGACGAAAG
This 356-nucleotide ribosomal RNA is filed under the name uncultured soil bacterium. RNAcentral's name for it is "bacterial SSU rRNA". It matches the Rfam family "Bacterial small subunit ribosomal RNA", at positions 26 to 381 of the family's 1533-position model. The record is from RNAcentral.